RNAcentral lists this small nuclear RNA (355 nucleotides) under Bison bison bison. Its description in RNAcentral is "7SK RNA (ENSBBBG00000004711.1)". It matches the Rfam family "7SK RNA". From Rfam's summary of the family: 7SK was discovered as an abundant small nuclear RNA in the mid-70s but a possible function has only recently been suggested. Two independent studies have found that 7SK RNA binds the CDK9/cyclin T complex (known as elongation factor P-TEFb). The record is from Rfam by way of RNAcentral. Lineage: Eukaryota; Metazoa; Chordata; Mammalia; Artiodactyla; Bovidae.
GGAUGUGAGGGCAAUCUGGUUGUGACAUCUGUCACCCCAUUGAUCAUCAGGGUUGAUUCAGCUGAUCUAGCUGGCUAGGCCAGUGUCCCCUUCCUCCCUCAUGGCUCCAUGUGUGCCACCCACACCCCCCCCCACCCCCGCUCCCCGCCAACCAAGGCUGCAUGCUCAGUUGAAGAGGACAACCAUCCCUGAUGGAGGAGGACUGCUCUUUGGUCAAGGGUAUACGAGUCGCUGUGCUCCCCUGCUAGAACCUUCAAGCAAGCUCUCAAGGAAUAAGUGGUAAUCUAAGGAUCAUUAACGUAUUUCCACAGUUAGUUACCUGAAGAGCAGAAGAGGAGGUUUGCCUCCUUUACGU